This 468-nucleotide ribosomal RNA is filed under the name uncultured bacterium. RNAcentral describes it as "partial 16S ribosomal RNA". It matches the Rfam family "Bacterial small subunit ribosomal RNA", at positions 28 to 507 of the family's 1533-position model. The record is from RNAcentral.
GACGAACGCUGGCGGCGUGCUUAACACAUGCAAGUCGAACGGAAAGGCCCUGCUCUUGUGGGGUGCUCGAGUGGCGAACGGGUGAGUAACACGUGAGUAACAUGCCCUUGACUUAGGGAUAAAUUCUGGAAACUGGGGCUAAUACAGGAUAGGAGCUACUGCUGCGUGGUGGUGGUUGGAAAGUUUCGGCGGUUGGGGAUGGACUCGCGGCUUAUCAGCUUGUUGGUGGGGUAGUGGCUUACCAAGGCUUUGACGGGUAGCCGGCCUGGGAGGGUGACCGGCCACAUUGGGACUGAGAUACGGCCCAGACUCCUACGGGAGGCAGCAGUGGGGAAUAUUGCACAAUGGGCGGAAGCCUGAUGCAGCAACGCCGCGUGCGGGAUGACGGCCUUCUGGUUGUAAACCGCUUUCGCCUGUGACGAAGCGUGAGUGACGGUAAUGGGUAAAGAAGCACCGGCUAACUACGUG